This 39174-nucleotide long non-coding RNA is filed under the name Olea europaea (common olive). RNAcentral's name for it is "long non-coding RNA (OEUR_LNC011238)". The stretch from base 35496 to 35578 matches the Rfam family "Small nucleolar RNA SNORD25". The record is from RNAcentral. Lineage: Eukaryota; Viridiplantae; Streptophyta; Magnoliopsida; Lamiales; Oleaceae.
GAAAUGGCAGACUGGAAUAUUCCCUGGUUUCAGCUUCAGCAACUGAAAAGCCAAGUGUUUCGGGUUCCACGCCGUCGUAUCCUGGUGGCAAACCGCCACAGCUUCCACCUUAGCGCCACUUUCCCCCAACAUCGCCACCUUGUAAGCCACGGUGGAUUCUGUCUUGUGGCAGUAAAAAACAACAUAUGCAUACUUUUGCUUGUGGCAAGCAACUACUUUUCGCCCGACAUUUUCUUGACCUUAACAAUUUUGUACUUCUGCAAUGGAGUUUCAUUCUCUGUCUCUAAAGAAACAGCCUCGAUUUUUGAUCCCAACUUGGAGGUGCUGAAAUCCACCAUGGAUUCCAAUGAAGUAGCACAGUAUUUUUCUUCUCCUUUUAUCCCUGCCUCUUCGCAUUCUUGAAGUGUUUUCUUCAUGAUUUUUGCCUUUUUCGAACUGGGAUUUACUGAAAAUCUGUUCAGAAUUUCUAGGAACUUUCCUGAAGAAAAUGGAAUUGAAUCAGCUACUCGACGCGGCAAUAAACUGCCCUGAUCGUAUGCACUCAUGAAAAAGUGCAAUUUCAUAUUAUUUCCUUUAUAAAGAUCCUUUUCCAGAAAGAAUAGGGUUACGUUUUGAUUAUCACGCAGUUGAUUUUCGUCAGCUCCAUGGUGGUAGAUGAUGGGAAAUGCAUCUGGUGUGACUCCAACAUAGACUGAUUUGCCUGAAAAUUGGUUGAAUUUGAACUUAUUUUACUUCAGAAAAGAAGAAAAAUGUCCUUCUAAAUCCACUUCAAUUACAUGAUAGAACAUUGAAAAGAUUCUUGAAAUGGAUCAGUUCACCCUCAACUGGAAUUGGUUUUACCCAUUCAUGUUUUGAAAAAGAAAAAUAAAGCCUUUUUAUUUAUUUAUUUGGUGUUUUGCCCGAAUUAGUUUUUCAAAGCACUGAUCUACACACAAGAUUGUGAGUUCAAGACAAACCAGGAUGGAAAAGAUCCUUCACAGCUUUAGGCAUGGAAGAGUUAGGCAGCACAGAUCUCCAGUAGUCUUCCUGUGAAGGUAAAGCUUCAUGGCUUGCCACUAAUGCCACCUGAAACAAAUGCACAAAUCAUACACUAACUUCUUCAUUGUGAACACAGAAAGAAGUAUAAAAAUAAAAAUUACUCACAGAAAGAAUUAAAAAUAUAUGCUGAAACUUGAACUUCAUUGGAUCUCGGAUAGAGCUGCAAUACGUAAAGAAAAUGGAGUAAUUGGAACUGAAAACAAAGAAGGUUGGAUUUAAAUUUUAAAGGAAGAAAAAAUGAUUUAUUGCAGCAUUAAUAUUUUUAACAAUAAUAAACUUUUGAUUUAAUGUAUGAUCCAAAAGAUUUUAUUACUUUAACUGUAUUUGACUUACACGAAUUCAAUGACGUGUCAAUCCCAAGUAUUGAUGAGGUUGCAUUUGCUAUGAGUAUGAUAUUUAGCUACUGGAGUUACAACUCUAGUCUAAGUUACAUUACUGUGACAUUAAAUGAUAGGUGAAAUUAAAUAAGUAAUUUAAUUUUAAAUUUCAUUUAGUCUAUCAUCUAACGUCACCUAGAUUAGGGUUGUAACCCUAGUGGAGCUACAUAUCAUCAUUCAUUUAUUAUUCGUUGAGGAGAGGAAAAAACCACUUGACCUUUAUUGGGUGUGCAUGCUAUUCUUGUUGAAGUAUUUUUGGGUAUUUUGGUAUGUUUAAAAGAUUUUUUAGCCCCCACUACACAAAUAUUAUUUGGAAAAAAUAAAGUUUGAACAAUGACUUUUAGGAGAAUGUGUAAUUAAAAAGUAGGAAAAGAAUUAGGGCAUAUAUGUAAAAUAUUUUAUUAUGUCAAUGUGUUGAAAGUAAUGAUUGUCAAACAGGAGCUUAGAUUAGUUCUAACUUUAUCCAACUGACCUCUUUAGUUGUAAUAAUUGGAAUUCGGCUUUGUCUGUAAGUUAGCAAGAUGUUUCUUAACUAGAAUUUUAAUGAAUUUUAAAUGGGCGUCCUCAAUUGAAAGUUUGAUAGAUAUUAAAAGAGGUUGGUUAUAUCCACAUAAUAAUUUUUAUUUAUUAAACCACAUUUUAAUUGUAGUCAAGCACAUCAAUUUUUGCUCAUUAUAACAAUUAUGUUCUUAACAUUUUUCCGUCAAAUUCUUAUAUUCAAUUUUCCAUUGAUUAGUAUGUUUCGUCCUUAAUUAUAUCAAAAUAUUUUACUUUCAUGCUUUGAAAUGUGGAAAAAAUACUUUUUUGCACUUUUUAUUUAUUUUUCUAAAAAAUAUGAUAGAAAAAUAAAGUUGUUUUAUGCCAUUUCAACUAACUUUUAGACAUAAAACUAUUAUCAAAUAAGAAAUGUGUUAGUAAUAAAAAGUUUAAAGAUAAUAUUGAUAUAAAAAAUUGUUAAAGACAUAAGUGCUAUAAUGAACAAAUAUUAAGAACUUUAAGUGCAACUAAAAUGUGGUGUAAGAAAUAAAAUUUUUAUUGAAUAUAAUCACACUUUAAAAAUUAUAAAUUCUAAUAAAUUUCGUAAAUUUAAGUAGAUUUCCAAAAAAAUCAUAAGAUCUCAUUUGACACGGUGAAUAUCAUUCUGGUAUCAUUAGACACGGUGAAAAUCAUAAGCUAGAAAGUGUGUAUCCAUUGGAUAUUCUUUUGGGAUGAAUGGAUAUAUCAUUCUGGUAUCAAAGAAGAUAGAUUACUAGACCUAGAUACUAAGAAAGUUUUCAUUUCUUGAAACAUUGUCUUCUAUGAAACCCAUACAAUCAUAACUCAAUAAAGCAAAUAAACUAAAGUUCUGGGUUCGAUCCAAAAAUAAUAAACCAAGCAACUAAUAAAUCGCCGAUAAUAUGUUGACCUCUUGAUCAUAAAACUUGAGAAUCUCACCCAGAUUGUUUGAAGCUCAACUCAAUAAAUUAUUAAACCAAAGAACCAAGACAAUUACAAAAUAAUAUCUUGACCCUGUGAUCAUAAUACUUACAAAUCUUACUUGAAUUGUUGAAUGCCACAAAGAGUAUGAAUCUUUGAUAAGUUCGGAUAGUUUGAACGCCACAAAUAUUAAAAAUAUUUGAUAAGUUCUGCUCAAUUAAGAACAAAAUAAAAAGUGAAAAAUUUCACAUUAUAAUUAAUUCUCAAAAAAUUUAUGUCUUUAUUGUACAAUGAAUGUGUCUAGCAUAAAAUAAACUCCUAAUUAAAAUAAAACUCUAAUUUUAAAGACAUAUCCAAAUAAACUAGAAAAAUAUAAAUAAAUUUGAAUGAAUUAAUACUACAAAUAACGAAAAUUAAACUAAUUCAAAAUAUAAAAACGCAAAAAUAGACCCCUAAACAACCUUCUGUAUAAUCAAAAGACUUUUUCAAAUUGGAUCAUGGACGAAAAUCCGACAACCAAGCUGAAAGUUAUAUGCAUUUUUGUACAUCUUGUGCAUUUUCACACAUACUUCAUAUUUCUUUCAUUUUCUAAUUAGUUUAGGAUCUUCUCUUCUAAUUGAUCUAUAUCACUCUGGAACAUGCAAUAGGGCCUCGUUAGUUUGCCCUCUAUGAUUCUCAUCAACAAAGCUGUUUUUCUUCUAAAAAAUGACAAUACCAACAACUUUGUCAUUUUAUUAAAUCCAAGUGAACUUACUUUUACCCUAGAUCCUAGUAUUUCAUUUCCAACCCUCUAGUUCAUAAUGAUCCUAUUCCUAUAGAUAAUCAAAACAUUAUUUUAAGAACCAAUAAUAACAGAACCAUUGAUUCACAUGCAAAUGAGAUGGUUGGCUCUACUGACCAAUCAACACAUGAUCCAGAAAAUGACCAAGAAAUUCCCGUGCAUCGGCCCUAAAGAUCAACUAGAAUAAGGAAAGCUCUAGCACACUUACAAAACUUCGUAUGCAAGACGGCCCCUUCACUUCUCCUACCUCAUAAGUUAGACGAGCAGAAAGUCCAAAUUUAGUCAGGUAAUUCAUUUUCUCUCAGUUAUGCAUCCUACAAUAAGUCGUCAUCACCAUACAAAGCAUUUAUGUCUUCAAUAACUUUUCGAGGAGAACCUAAGGACUAUCUAGAACCUAGAACAUUCCUUGAAUAAAGAACAUCAAUGAAAGCUGAGAUUGAGCUCUUGAGUUGAAUGAUACACGGAUAUUUGUUGAUUUACCUAUUGAUAAAGAAUCAAUAGGCUGCAAACAGAUUUAUAAAAUUCAAUUUAAUGUUGAUGGGAGUACAAAGUGGUACAAUGCGAGGCUUGUAGCAAAAAUGGUUACUACGAGGACAUUAUUGGCUAUUGUAGCAGUGAAAGGAUAAUUUCAACAUCAAUUUAAUGUCAAUAAUGCUUUCUUAUAUGAAGACUUAGAGGAGAAAGUGUACAUAGAGCUACCACCAAGAUAUCCUAAUAAGAAUGGAGGAAAAUUGUGUAAGCUUAACAAAAGCUUAUAUGGACUUAAGCGGGCUUCAUGCAAACGGUACUCAAAACUUUCUAGUUUUAUCAUUCAAUGGGGCCAUUCUCAAUAUAAGACAGAUUAUAGUUUAUAAACAAGGUCAACACAUAUUUCUUUUACAACAAUUUUAGUAUAUGCAGAUCACAUAAUAGUUGCUAGAAAUUGUGUGGAGACAGUCAAUCAGCUGGAGUAUUUAUUUGACGACAAGUUCAAAAUCAAAGACCUUGGCUACCUCAAGUACUUCCUUGGAAUUGAGGUGACAAAGCCAGCGAAAGACAUUUAUUUAUGCCAACAGAAGUAUGCAUUGGAAAUUCGUGCAAAUUCGAACACUACUGGGUCAGCUCCAGCCAAAAUUUCUUUAGAUCAAAAUGUCAGAUUGUCCAAAGAAGAAUGAGAGAUCAUUGUAGAACCUUCUCUUUAUAUGAUGUUGAUUGAUAGGCUUUUGUAUCUCGUGAUAAUAGGACCUGAAUUGGCAUGUUCAGUUCAAAUGUUGUGUCAAUUUACGGACAAUUCCUAGUUACCACACUGAAAGAGCGCCAUGGCAAGGAUUUUUCUAUCUAGCAAAUACAGAAAUUCAAUGCAAAGGCUUUAGCGACUUAUACCGGAGGCAUGUCCAGACACAAGAAGGUCUGUCACAUGUUACUAUAUGUUCAUAGGAUGCCCCUUAGUAUCUUGGAAAUCAAAGAAGGAAACUGUAGUCUCUAAUCCUCCACAGAAGCAAAGAAUGGAGCCAUGAUUAAUAUUUGUUGCGAGUUGACUUGGCUCGGGUAUUUGUACAAAGACCUACCAAUUUGAUAUCCAUAGGCUGCUCUUUUAUAUUGUGACAACAAGCAAGCAUUACAUAUUGCCACAAAUCCUGUAUUCUACGAGAAAACUAAGCACAUAGAAAUUGAUUGUUACUUAAUUCGGGAUAAGAUUCAAGGAGAGAGCAUAUUGAGAAAACAUGUCACUAGUAGUUCACAAUGUGGUAGACAUCUUCAUUAAGAGCCUAGACUUACGCCCCACGUGGUUGCGUUCGACCCGUCUCGGUAGCGGCCGCAAAACAGCGUGGAGAGCAUGCUGCAGCAAUACAGAAUGCAGGCUGCCUAAAAUUGUGCAGUGUUCCAGGGUGUUAAUGAGGUUUUUCUAAGUCCCUACCCAGCCAUUUCGAGAGGAAAAAUACAUAAACCUGCAGCGGGAUAUUUUGGGAUGCAAGUAGGCAACUUGCACAACUUGUCCACUUGUGCCACUUGCAAGAUAUUAUCAAAAAUACAAGCUAAGCGCGAGUUGACAAAGAUAUUAUCAAAGGUGCAAGCUAAGCACGAGUUGGCAAGAAUAAUAUCAACUAUGCAAGCUAAGAUCGAGUUGGCAACAACUUGCAAGGAAAGUUGUAAGUUUAUCCACUUGACGACAACUAAGCAUGAGUUGUAAACAACUAGCACGAGUUUUGACCAACUAAGCAUAGGUUGUAAAGUAAUGCAACUUGAUCUUAAGGAAGUUUAAGUUUUGCCUAUAAAUAGAGAUGGAAGUCUCAUUUGUAAAUCAUGUAGAGUUGAGUGAGUUUAUUCAUUAGAGAGAUUGUAAAGUUUUCCCUUUCAUUUAUACAAAGAAAGUUUACCGGCCUUACUUAUUUUUCAUAUAGCCCUUACUUCAAAAAUCUCUUCUCAACGUGGGUAUAAUUUAGCCUCCUUGGUUAAAUUAUUUGUGAGCGUGAAAAGAUUGACUUAACGUUUUCUCGUGAGGUGCGGGAAUUGUCAAGCGUUAAGGUCGCAUGAUUUUAGCUGUUCGGGUGUAACAAAACUAGGUCCAUGACACUAGGCUCUCAAAGCCUUUAUUCGUUAAUGUGCAAGAUGGGGGUAGCAGACAUCUAAACUCCAUAUUGUAGGGGUUUGUUAAAGAAUGAAAGAGAAGUUGAAUUAAAGAAUAUUUGCCAACAGACCUGUAAGUAACAAAUUGGAAAAGCAGCUGAUGACAAAUCAUGGAAAGUCAAGAGAGAUCUAGUGAAGAAGAAAACAAAGCUUUCAGAUGUAGGCUAAAAGGAAUAUGCUGUUGGUUAGAGAAAGUUGUUGUGUAUCUAAGGAAUUGAUUAGCUGAAAAUUGUUGUACAAAUUAAAUUCAAUUUUAUGUGUUUUUUGUUCAAAUUUGUUAGAUUUGAUUUCUAUUUCUAUACUUUAGCAAAUUUACAGAAAUUUAGAAAGAGGAAUAAAAAUUAAUUUAUAAUUAAAGUUAUCCGUUGUUUUUUCCAAAAUUAAUUCCGGCAUUUGCUAGUCUUGCAGUAACUCACAUUCAAAAUAUUUUAAUCCACAUCUCCUGCCAUUGUAUCUGGAAACUUUGUAUGAGCUACUCAUUAUCUCUCAAAUACAUGAUAACCUACGAAAUAGAGCAUGGAGAAAGAAAGGUGAAAAGGGGAAAUAAGGCUAAGGAGAAAGUGCUAGGGAUGCAAGGGUAAGGGUUAGAAAGGACACAAUAUUCUAAGUAAAAUUACUUGGAAAAUGAUAGUCUGCCAGGGUCAUUUGCACAGACCCUAGCCAAACUAUCUCUCAAACAAGGGGACCCACACCCAUUUUUUAAGGAAAAAAAUAAAAUAAAAUGCCCACCCUCUCAUAGUCUGGUCAGGGUCUGUGCAAAUGACCCUGACAGACUAAUAUAUCCCAAAUUACUUUUGAUAAUAGUACAUACUUGAUGUCCAAAUGUCCUUAAAUUAGACAUGUCAAAAUGGGUAGACUUCUUGGCUUGGCUAAGCCUACCCACAAAUGGAUAGGCCCAAGAAUUGACCGAUAAUCGAAUUGGGUUGGUUCAUGAGUUGCCUGCCAAUAAUAUUGGGUCGGUCCAAUUUUUGUACAAAGGCCAGACGGUUAACCACUAGACCCAUGUAAAAAUAAUAUGCAACAUACCAAAAAAAAGGUUAAAGAAGAGAGAAAUUCCUCCCUCCGCAUAGAAACUUCUUGCUUUAAAUGGCGUAUCAAUGACAACUAUUAUUAAAUGAGAUUUGACAAGUCUAAACUGGUAGGCUUGUCAAUCAAAUGAUUUUUUAGUAAUGAGAUUUGACAAGUCAAAUAAUUCAUUUUUUUAUUGAGAAACAAAAUCAAUUAAAGUCAGGAACUUGUGAUUUGCUUUCUUUCUUGCCAUUGUUAAAUUAUGACAAUUGUUAGAUGAUCAAUUUUUGAAUUUAUAUAUGGACCGCGCUAGGCGUAAAGGGUGAGUCCUACAAGUGUUUUACAGGGAAUAAAAAAAAAGAAAAAUAAAUAAGGAUCUUGCACUCUUUCUUUCGUCCUUCUCCCCAAUACCCAACAAUCCCCAAUUUCAAAACCUACCUCUCCAAAAUCCUCUCUUCACUUUAGAAUUCCAUCCGAACACCGGUACAUUAAUCUCCACCUCCGACAGCCCCCAAACAGCCGCCCUCAUCAGGUUGUGUUUCCUCAAAUGAGUGCGUCUCCAAGUGCAUCUUCGAAGCGAUGUUGAAAAUUGUCGAUUAAGCCGAUUUCGCCACCAUCAUAGUUCAUAAAGAUAGAGGUAAAUUCGGCCUCCUUCGUCACAGGCUGCAGGCAUUUGCAAUCCCUAAACACUUGCCCAUUCCUUGAAAAGCAUCGAACAGGCCGACACUUCCCUCGAAUUCCUCUGCCACUAAAUGAGCUUGGUGACCCAAACAAUACAACCACCAUCAUCUAAUCCCAAUCAGGUAGUAGUUUAACUUCAUGUUCAUGUUCUCAUUUCCAUGGUUCUUUUGGAAAAUGAAAUAUGUCGUUGUGCGGCCCUACAUCUACUUGUUUAUGACAUUGCGAUCCGGUUGGCCCAAUUCCUAUUUCACAGUAGUAUAUGCUUUGUAAUUUAUACAUUAUUUAUGUAAUUAAGAUUCCCCAUUUCACAGUAGUUAGUUUGUCAACAUGAAAACCGAUUGAUUGUAUGCGGCUGAUUUGUAUACUAGAAUGCCAGGGAAGAAUUCAGGUGUAUGCCAUAGUUACAGAGGCAGGGGACACUUCUUUGCUGAAUGCCCGAUCAAAGUGCGAUGUCCGUUGUGUAAGCAUGGAUAUCAAAAAUGCUUUGAAGUAGAGAAGAAGACUUGUAAUAAAGGUAGAUUAUUCAAGUGUUGCAGUGAAAAAUGUGAAAAAUGUGGAUUUUGGGAUUGGUAUGAAGAAAGUCAAGAACGACGUGAAUGUAGUAGCAUUAGUGCUACCUCAAUUAACCCUACGAUGAUGGAAGCAGUUGAAGAUAUGACCCGCACGUUCCAAUCUCAAGUGAGGCUAAAUAAUGACGAGGAGCUCCAUAUUUCGGUGAACGUGACAAUUCGUAAGGAAAAAUCUGGUGCGACUGGGAAUGUAAAAGGGAAAGGGCCUGCUUGAUUGGUGUUGAGUUUGUUUAUCUACUACGAAGAAACAGUAGUUUGGAACUUUAUAUUUGCUAGUGAUAGUAGCUCACAACUAUGUAUCGUGUUUUGUGGUUUGUAACGUUUGUGAACUAAUGAACUUGAAUGUUAAGUUCUUCAAUGAGUUGAAGUUGCACAAGUAGUUCUUUGUUUUGACCCAACACUCCUGGUUUUGCUAAGUAUUCUCUUCCAUUCAAAGCAGUAAUUGGUAAUUGGUUUUGGUAUUUGUUAACUGCUGUCUUGAGGUUAAAAUAAAGUAGUGUUCUGCCUCUCUUUCACAUGUACGAUAGAGGUUAAAACCACACUGAUAAUGCUAGAAUGUAAACUUGCCAAGUGAUGAUCUGAUCACAAGUUAGAUUUUUUACAUUUUGUGAAAAGAACGAUAAUUGAUGAUAGACAAAAUGAAGUAAUGAACCCAGAAUUUCAAAAAUCGAAAAAAAAAAUAAUCAAUUAUCUCGGACAUGUGAAAUUAAUGGAACUAAAAUUGCCUCCAUAGGAGCAAGGUAGUAUACAAUUAAAUUAGUGAUUCCAAAACACAGUAUGCUAAACUGAAAAACUGGAAAUGUUACUACUUGUUCAUCUUUAUGCUUUUCUUUAAAUUCCAAUGGCUAGAUGAUAUAUAGCUCCGAGUGCAAGAAAUGUUAUUGCUUGGAAAGUGCUGGAGACAGAUUUGACUAGCUUCAACAACGAACUGGGCAAGCAGUUUUAAACAAAAAUGGCAUCCACAAACUUCAUGCUUUCAUGGCGAAGAAAGGGCAAGCUGGAUUGAACAAAAAAUGGGAUCUACCAAAAAAUGGCCUAUUACAAAUUGGCAAACUUUUCUAAAUUUCUUGUGAAAUUAACAAAUUCCUUUAUGGCAAUUCAAAGGUGGAAACUUAACCUUUUCACAAGCCCCUGCCACCAUCUUCUGGUAAAGUUGGAUAGUAGAACGAUAUUCCAUGAUCUUCCAUAUAUAACGAAUAUUAAGACAAGACAACGAAAUAAAAAGAUAACGAAUUGUAAUGAUUUCGACAAUUAUUUACCUCGUGAAUUAGUGCUACUAUCAUGCGGCGAUGGAGACAUAAAGCUGGAAGGCGGGUAUUCUUGGAUAAACAUAUGAUUUUCAGCAUCACCCUACAUAUAAUCAUAAAAUAAAUAUAACAUAAACUUCCGUCAUAACAGAGAAUUGAAAAUACUAACCAACAACAUUUGUGAAUAUAAGAAUGUGGGCGGUACAGAAUAGCUAAGUUGUGAUGGUUCUUCAACUUGGGGUGGUACCACCGGCAUGUUAGUAUGCGUCACCCUCGAUGCGUUUCCCUUGCUUGAAGUCAAACUUCUCUACAUUUAUAUCAAACAUAUAUGAGAAUUUGAAAUUGGACUCCAUUUCAAUGGUGAGGUUGACAAACAAAAGUACCUUUGUUUUCUUCGACCUCGACUCCAAUGACCCUUUCGCACGAAGCUUUUUUGGUACACCCUUUCUCUUCACCAAUAUAGGAUCCCUUACACUUUCGCAAUCAAUGGGCUGAGAAUCCGUGCAUUGAGAGGAUAAGUUAAAAGCAGUUAGCGACCCAACAUUACUUUCGCUACUCAACUUGCUAAGCGUAAGCUCUUUAUAUUGACAUUUUAUCUAGUCCAUUAUUGCGCGUGACCACCCUUCAUCAUCUGCAGUGAGAUCCGACACCUGCGAAAAAGCUUGACACAUUUCCUCGUAUCUCAACUGUGCCGGAGUACUAACCAAGCCAUCGUAGUUUACUGCCACUCUUGUGUGUGGUCUACUAACAUCUCUCCUCCACCUUCGUAGUAUAUACCUCUCGGGUAUUGAUCUCACGUCGUUACGGAUUAAGACUGCGAUUGCAUGCCUGCAUAAUAUCCCUCGAAACUUAAAUAAAUGGCAGCUGCAAACUAUUUCACAACUAUCCCUCCUAAAAGCGACGAAGAACUUUUUUUCCUUCCUUUGGUGGUCAUACAACACAUCCUCCAGAACUCCGUACCUUAUCCCUAAACUCCCCUCUAAAGCAGCUAUGAGAUCGCAAUAUACCUUCCCUGUGAACUCAUCUUGCACUUCUCGAAACUUCGAAAUUGUGUACACCAACUGAAAUUGUUUUUCCAUUUCAUAAUUUGUUGCACAUGGUACCAUCUGCGAGUAUGACUUGAAAUCUACAUAGUACUCCUUCUCAACCUUACUUCUCAGUGCUCGUUCAUAUUGUUCAACAAACUGUUUAAGCGAGGUCUUCGAAUGUACAUAUCCAUCGAAGAAGGUAUUCGUACUUUCACUUCACUGAGUCAUGGACAUACUAGCCCAGAAAGUGAUUUUCAAAAAACAUGGAACCCAACGACUUCUAUUAUUAUAAAGUCCAGCCAACCAAUCAUUCUCAUACAACUCGUAUAAGUCAACCAUCAAUGCUCAACCUUCUUCAAAUUCUUCAUCAGUCUGCGAAUCAUACACCAAUCUAUGUAUAGCCGAAAAUAUGUUUCCCUUAUCAACAUGAUACCCAAACUUCUCCAGCAAUUUCUUGAAAAUAUGCCAUAAACACCAUCUAUGCUUGGUGGUCGGAAAAACAAUUUUAAUUGCAUUUUGCAUAGCACUAUCUUGGUCUAUAAUAAUUCCAUGGGGGCUUGACCUUGCAUGCACUCAAGCCAUGUACUGAAUAGCAAAACAAAUGUAUCUGUGUCCUCAUUUGAUAACAGACCACAACCCAGCAGUGUUGAUUGACCAUGAUGGUUAACUCCAACAAAAGGAGCGAAAGACAUGUCAUAUUUAUUGGUAAGGUAGGUGGUGUCAAAGGUGACAACAUCACCGAAGUCCUUGCAUGCCUGCUACAUCUAUUAUCAGUCCAAAAUACAUUCUUCAAUCGCGACUCAUCAUCUAAAUCGAUACUGAAGUAAAAUCCAUGACAACGUGCUUGCAUUUUCGAAAAAUAAGAUUGUAUUGCGGCUGCAUCACCCUCUCCGAGUCAUAAUUAUCUCACUUGCUCAAUAUAAUUUCGGCAAUCCUUUUCCACACAAGGCAAAUUCUCAUAUCCACCAGCUUUGAUGACUGCGCAAUUGAAACUUUUAUGCAACGAAAUCCCGGCCAUGUCAUUAACUUCAAGCUUUCUUUUCACAUAUGCUGGCAAUUUUCGAUUGCAACGGUAAAACCUGAAUUUUGAAGGGCUUGUUGUAUGAUUGUGCUUAAGGUGGACUGUGUUGAUCCUCCAAGUUCCAUUAUCAUCCGAAGAAGCAGAGAUUCUAGCUUUACAAUCCGUUUGCAUUGUUGGUUGAGGCUUCAAUGAACCAACAACAUUAGUGCUUUUUUGACCUUCAUGACAACAUGUAAAUGUCACAUAUCUUAGAACUCCAUCCUCCCCUCUUUUCAAAUUCCUCUUCCGAACUGGAAAGCCUACGUCGUAUGUAUGUCUUUUAUAGAACUCAAACAUUGCUUUUUCAUCUGUGAAUUGCAUACCCACCUCACGAUAACAUUGAUAAUACCUUCAUAUGAAAAUGGGCAAAAAACAAACACAAGGAUACAUAUUACUGCAGCCAAAGAGACAGGUUGGGCCUUGGACAUUUCAACAUAAUAAAAGCAAUUCAAUUGGUUAUUAUUCUUCACGUUACACUUGGUUUCUAAGUUGAAAAACAUAAAUCACUCAGACUUAGCAAUCUCAUUUUGUGAUUAGUUUCUUCGUCUACCUUGUAGCUUUAGGAUUUAUAAUAUUCAAAGUGUUUUUGAGCCAUGAGUAUAGAAAAUGGGCAAAGAAGCCAUGAGUAAUUGUAAUAAAGAUUGAGCUUACUGCAUUAACCAACUAGUCGUGUCUUCAACCUUCCGGCAACGUUCGCACUUGGACACUUCUUUUAUUCUACAACAUGGGGUGCAAGAUAGCUGGUCGAUUGACGCUGGAGGUGGAGAAGAUGGCUGGUCGGGCGAUGGCAGGUGGAGAAGAUGUCUGGUCGAGCAGGCAGGCCGAAUUUCAAGCUUCGACGAAAGAAAGGGGAUACUGAACUGAGCUUGCGUUUUGACGAAUUUCACGCUUGGACGAACAGGGGUACUAAGCUUGCUAUUUUGGGGGGAACUAAGGUGGACUGCAACUCAUUUCCCUCCAUUGCCGAUUGUUUCUUAUUUGUUUAUUGACCACACGUGUGAGUCAUUUUUUAAAAAUUACUUGUAAACGCCCUAGCAAAGCAUUCUGUACGCUGGGCUUUAUCCUUUAUAUAUAAAGGUGUUGUCAUUCAUAUUAGAUAUUAUAAUCAAAGUUCACUUCACUUUUUAAUACACUUUCUUGCCUUUCAACUUCCUAUGUACAUUAUUAUUUUUGAAAAUUUUCAGAAUUAUUCUUUACCAUCUUUUACAGUUUGUUGAUAUAAUUUUCUAUAUUUUUAAUAUUCUUUUCAGUUAUUAAUUAUUACAAUGUUGAUUUUUUUAUUAAUUAUACAUAGUCCAUAAAUAUUUCUCUUUUCUUUUAUCAAUAUUUUUAAAUUAUGGAAUCACACCGUUUUCCUACUGAUGAUUUCAAUUUAAGAAAUAGUGGCUCUCCAAUAAAUUUGGAGGAUGAUGCUACAAAUAUUGCCAUUGUUUGAGCCCCAUUUUUUCAUUAAAACACAUUCUUCAAUAGUGAUUUGACAUCAUUUCAACCACAUAUUUUUCAAUAAAAUAAUAUUACACGCAUUCCCAUAACUAUUCAUUAUUUUUUAACCACACAUUAUCCAUUAUAACACUACUUCAAAAUGCAUUUUUCUAGAAAAAUGUGGCUCAAAUAACCCCAUUGGAUAAACAAACAUCGAAUGUUUAAAAAAAAUUACAGUAUAUGCAACUCGUGGAAAAGCAAUAUGUAAUAUUUGUUUAAAGGCUUACGCAUGGUUAAAGGGUCAAGGCACUGGUGGGUUGCGACGACAUAAAAAUUCUCAUCUUAACUAAACAGGACAUUUAGAUCCUAGACUAACAAAAAUUACUUCUUUUACAGGUGUUGAUGGAUCAAUUACUUUUGCUAACUUUUCUUAUUCGCUGGAACAGAUGAGAUUUGGAAUGUCCGAAUUUUUGACGUCAAUUGAGAGGCCCUUUACUUUUGCAGAAGAUCAAUACUUUAAGGAGUUUAUGCAAAAAUAUGUUUCCCCUCUUAUUGAAGUGUAAGUAGAAAUAUUGCUCAUUCUAAUUGCAUGAAAUUAUUUCAUAUAAUGAAAGAUAAUUUAAAAAAUCAAUUUAAUGACUUUGAUGGAAUUAUGUGUUUUACAUCUGAUUGUUGGUCCGCAAGUAAUCACAAUGGUUACAUUUGCAUCACUACACAUUAGAUAGACAAUAAUUGGUUAUUAAAAAAAAUAUUGCUUUUCGUUUACCAAAAUAUCCACAUAAUGGUCUAAAUUUAUAUGAUAAUUUAUCACAAGUUUUUAAUGAUUUUGGUGUUUUAAAUAAAUUAUCUAGUAUUAGUUUUCAUAAUGCUAAGCAAAAUACUGCAUGUAUUGACCUUUUGAUUAGAACUCUUAAACCUUAGUUCGAUUCUAAAUUAUUUCAUAUGCGAUGUCGUUUGUCACAUAUUUAAUUUAGUUGUCCAAGAUGGUUUGAAAUUAAUAGAAUCAUGAGUACAAAAAAUUAGACAAGUAGUUAAUUAUAUUUCUUGUUCUAAUUCUAGGCAACAAGAUUUUGGAAAAAAUUUCAAUAAUUUCAGAUUAAAAAAGAAGAAAUUUCUCAAUGAUGUACUGAAUAUAUGGAAUUCAACAUUUCUUAUGUUAAGGUCAUGUAUUAGUUAUACUAAUGCUAUUAAUGUGUAUGGUAAUUCGAUGCAAGACCAAUUUCGUAUUAACGAUUCAGAUUGGGAAUCGACAUUCAAGAUUAUGAAAUUUUUGAAGGCUUUCUACAAGGCAACAAAAGAAGCGUUCAAAAGUUUAUUACCCAACAAGUUGUAUCGUUCAUAACAUUUGGUAGGAAAUGCUAAUCAAUUUUCAAGUUAUAGAGAUGAUCCAAUUUUUACUAACAUAGUUAGUGCAAUGGAGAACAAAUUUCGAAAAUAUUAUGAAAACAUGCCACUUAUUUUUCCCUUGGUAGCAAUUAUAGACAUUCGAAUUAAAUUAUUUGGGGUUCAAUGUGCUAUGGAGCAACUUUCAUAAAAUUAAUGUUUUAAGAUAAAUCUUACGAAUCGGGAAUUAGAAUGUUUUCUUAAUGAACUAUGCAACUAUUAUUCUAGUAAAUAUAGAAACAAUGAAACUGUUCCUGCAAGUUCCAUUGCAAAAGAGAAAUCGUCUUUCGUUUUUCUAUGAUAGCUCAUAAACGUCGUGGUUGCAAUUCUUCUUUCUACAAGUUCAAGUUUGCUGAGGAGUUGAAGAAACCUCUUGACCUUUAUUGGGAGUGCAUGCUCUUCUCGUUGAAGUAUUUUUUGGGUAUUUUGGUAUGUUUAAAAGAUUUUUUUAGCCCCUAUUUGACAAGUAUUAUUUGGAAAAAAUAAAGUUUUGAAUAGUGAUUUUUAAGAGAAUGUGUGAUUAAAAAGUAGGAAGAUAAUUUGGGUAUAUGUGAAGAAUAUUCUAUUAUGAGAAAGUGUGGCAGAAAAUGCUUAUGUAAAAAAAAAAAAAAAAAAAAAAGUCGAAAAAACCUCAUAAAAUAGCCUCCAUAUUUUGUUCACUAACCUUGUAACUGACUUACAAACUUAGAGAAAAAAAAAAGGGGGUAUUUGUUAUAUUUGUAUAUACGUGGCAUGCAUGUCAUGUGUCCUACAUUGAUUGACUCGACAUCAACACCUGAAUUGGGCCAAUUAAUCAAAAAACAUGUUCUCGUACUUCGGUGGGCCAAGUAGGAAGAUAAUUUGGGUAUAUGUGAAGAAUAUUCUAUUAUGAAAAAGUGGGGCAGAAAAUGUUUAUGAAAAAAAAAAAAAAAAAAGAGUCUGAACAUAAUGGUUGUCGAACAGGGCUUACGUCAAUUCUAACUUUAUCUUGUUGACCUCUUCAAUUGGAACAAUUGGAAUUUGAUUUGGCUAUAAGUUAACAGUAUGUUUCUUAACUGGAAUUUUGAUGAAUUUUAAAUGGGUGUCCUCAGUUGAAAUUUUGAUAGAUUUUAAAAGAGUUUGAUUAUAUCUACACAAUAAUUUUUAUUUGUUACACCGCAUUUUAAUUGUAGUUAAGCAUUUUAAUCUUCACUCAUUAUAGCAAUUAUGUUCUUAACCUUUUUUCAUCGAAUUCUUCGAAUUCUUAUCUUCAGCUUUUAUUUUCAUGCUUUGAAAUGAUGAAAAUUAUUUUUUACACUUUUUAUUUAUUUUUAAAAAAAAUAUGGUGAAAAAUAAAGUUGUUUUUUAUCCCAUUUCAACUAACUUUUGGACAUAAAAUUGUUAUCAAAUAAUAAAUGUAUAAAACAAUGAAAAUUUUGAAGAUAAGAAUAAUAUAAAAAAUCGUUAAAGGCAUAAGUGCUAAAAGAACUUUAAGUGCAAUUAAAAUGUGGUAUAAGAAAUAAUAAUUGUUGUGAAUAUAAGACACUUUAAAAGAUUAUAAAUUAUAAUGAAUUACCUAGAUUAACAUAAAUUUCCAAAAAAACUCAUAAGAAUCUCAUUAAAAAUGGUGAAAUUUCAAAAGAAUUUGUUAUGUAUAUUUUUAAGCUAGAAAGUGUGUGCUCAUUGGAUGUUUUUUUGAUAUCAAUGGAUAUAUCAUUCUAGUAUCAAAGGAUACACUUUCAUUUCUCGAAACGUUUUCUUCUACGAAACUAUUUUUCCUCUAGAAUUGACAAUAUACAAUGACUUUGACAUUUUGUUAAAUCCAAGUGAACUUACUUUUACCCUAGAUCCUGUUAUCUUCAUUUCCAUCCCUCUACUUCAUAAUUAUCCUAUUGUUGUAGAUAAUCUAAACAUUAUUCUGAAGAACCAAGAAUUACAGAACCAUUGAUUCACAUGCAAAUAAGAUGGUUAGCUCUACUGACCAAUCAACACAUGAACCAAAAAAUGACCAAGACAUUUCCCCAUAUUUGCCACGAAGAUCAAUUAGAAUAAGGAAAGCUUCAGCAGACUUGCAAAACUUCAUAUGCAAGAAAGCCCCUUCACUUAUCUUAUCUCAAAAAUUAGACAAGCCAAAAGUCCAAAUUUAGUUAGGUAAUCCAUUUUUUCUUAGUGCUUGUGUGUCUUACAUUAAGUUGUCAUCACCCCUCAUAUCCUUGUGGCUAACCAACACAACUUCCACCUUAGAGCCAUUUCCCUCCACCAUCGCCUUACAACACCUUGUAAGACACGGUGGUUUUUGUCUUGCAGCCAUAAAAAACAACAUAUGCAUAUGUUUGCUUGUGGCAAGCAACAACUUUCUCCUUGACAUUUUCUUCACCUUAACACUUUUGUACUCUGCAAUGGAGUUUCCUUCUCCGUCUCAAAAGAAAUCACCUCGACUUUUGAUCCCAACUUGGAGGUGCUAAAAUCUACCGUGGAUUAUGUUACGAAUUGAUCGCAAGAUAAUGACAAUAAUGAAAUGCACAAUAACAAAAUUUUCAAGAUUUAUGUAGAAACCCAAGAUGGAAAAAAACACAGGUACAGAAUGAGAAAUCCGCUAUAAUCAAUAGUAAUUGUGUUUACAAUAAAAUCUCAAUUCUCUCAAUUAAGAUCUAAAGAUCUCAAGAUAUUGUAUGAAUGUUAUGAAAACAAUACAAAUUUUGACUUAUAUAUAUAACCCUAGAAAUCAAUAUGUAGAUGAAUAAGAGUCUAAAAACACAUCAAGACGGGCUUGGGUCGGAUAAACCUGUCGCUUGAGCAUCAGGCGGGUGACAGGCGGGCAACAAGUCUCUACAGAGAAUAUUCAAGCACCGAUCAAGUGGCUAGCUAGCGACAGGGUAUUGAAAAUGCGAUGACUUUUCUUUUUAGUCCAUAAUUUUGAUCUGUUCAAAAUCUCUUUGACCAAAAACUCCAAUACUCAUUAGAAUUUGCAUCAAACUAUAAUAAAUCUCUAUCUUGAACCAAAUUCCAAUACAAGAAAUUUCAAAAAGACAAUUUUUAAAGUAAACAUCACUCAUCCUCUUCCAAACAAGGCCCAUAGGACUAAAUCAAUGACAAAUACUAACUAAAUUCAAGCAAUGCUCAAACUUAGCAAUGAGAAGUGAUUUUGUCUUCAUAUCAUCAGGAUUAUCUUUAGUAUCAACCUUGCUCACUAUAAUAUCACCAUGAGCAAUCACAUCACGCACAAAAUGAUACCUCACAUCAAUGUGCUUAGUCCUCUCAUGGAACAUCUAAUCCUUAGUCAGAAAAAUAGCACUUUGAUUGUAGAAAUCUACAAGUUUUCACUAAUUUUACCAAUCAAUCCCUUCAGCCACAUAACCCUCUUACAUGCCUCCGUAAUGGCUAUGUACUCUGCUUCUAUUGUAGAUAAAAUUACUGUAUUUUGCAAAGUAGCUUUCCAGCUAAUAGCACAGUCUCUAAGGGUAAACAUAUACCCUGUAAGUGAUCUCCUCUUAUCAAAAUUUUCUGUAUAAUAUGAAUUCACAUACCUAAUGACUCUAUCUGUAUUUCUACCAAAAUGUAAGCAAGCAUUAGUGGAGUCUUUCAAGUAUCUGAAUAUCCAUUGCACUACUUCCCAAUUUUUCUUGCCAAGAUUUGCUAUGUACCUACUAACUACACUAACUGCAUGUCCCAAAUCUGAUCUUGUACAAAUUAUAGUAUACAUAAGAGAACCAAAUUGUAUUGGAAUAAGAAACCCGAGACAUAUAAUCAAUGUCUUUAUCUAAUUGAGAACAUCUAGAUAAUAAUUUGAAAUAGCCAAGGGGGUAUUGACAGCCUUAGCAUUUGGCAUGUUGAACUUUUGAAGCACAUUCUCAAUGUACUCCCUUCUGACUCAAGUAAAUCUGCUAGCCUUUCUAUCCUCAAAAUUUCCAUACCAAGAAUUUUUUUUGUUGCACCCAAAUAUUUCAUCUUAAACUCCUUACUAAGUUGAGAUUCGCCUAUCUAACCUUGGCUUUAUCUUUGGCUGCUAUGAGCAUAUUAUCAAUAUAUAAUAACAAAUAUGUGAUCGAUCCACUAUCUUUCUUUUUGAAGUACACACGACUAUCAUAAUUACUUCUAAUGAAACUGUGAGUAGUCAUGAAUGAAUCUAACUUUUUGUACCACUGCCUCAAUAACUGCUUUACACACAAGGACUUCUUCAACAAGCACACAGUCCUCCUUUCCAAAUACUAUGAAACCCUCUGGUUGAUACAUAUAAAUAUUUUCUCAACUUCUCUAUGCAAAAAUGUUGCCUUGACAUUCAUUUGCUUAAGCUUCAAAUCAUUUUUUGCUACUAUCAUAAGUAAAGCUCUAAUUGAACUAUGCUUUACAAUUGGUGAGAACACAGCUGUGAAGUCAAUACCCAAAAUUUUACUGUGGCACUUUGCUACCAAUCUAGCCUUAUGAUACAUAGUAUCUUAAAUCCCUUAUGUUUUUCCUUCCUUUUGAACUCCAACUUGCAACGAACAAUCCUUUUAUCCUUAGGUAAUUUUACCUAGUCCCAAAUACUAUUUUUAUUUAAUGACUUCAUCUCCUCCUGCACAGCAAUUGAUCAUCUGCUAAAAUCACUACAACUGACUGUCUCUGAAUAUAUAGCAGGCUCCUCAAUGGAAUCAAUAUUUUCAGCCACGCUCAAUACAUAAGCUAUCAAAUCUGCUUUUCCAUAUUUCUGUGGAGGUCUAAUCUGUUUGCAAGGUUUAUCCUUAGCAAUUGAAUAGUGUGAUAUUGUUGGUAGUAUAGGCAAAGUAGGCUAAAUAUUACUUCUGUCAAUUCUAGCCAAGACUGAUUUUAGAAGACUAUUUUGAAACGUCUAAUUAUACCCUAGACCAAUUUCCAACUACACCUAAGUUGAAUGAUUCUAUUCCUUAGUUUUAUUAGAAUCCCUACGAGGUGAACCAUGAACUAUAGCAAGUUUGUCAAAUACUACAUCUCUACUAACCACCACAUUUCUUGUCUCGAGAUACUAAAAUUUAUACCCUUCAUAGUUAGGGAUGUCAAUAAGCCGAGCCGAGUCGGCUUGCGAGCUGAAAUUUGAGGCUAGGACUAGACUUGAGUAAAAUGGUAAGAGCUUUUUUUAGGUUAGAGCUGAGCCGAACUCUUGCUCGGCCAAAAAAUCUAAGCUCAACCCAAGCUUUCAACUUAGGCCUUUUUGAGUUGAGUUGAGCCAGGCCGGCUUCUUUUUUUAAAUUACUACCUUUUAAGAUAGCAGUUGGCCACCUUUAAGGUAGCAAAAAAUGCUACCUUUUAAAGGACAGCAACUAACGCCUUUAAGGCAGCACCAUGCAUCAUUUUAAAAAGCGGCACUCGAUUGCCUUGAAAAGGCAGUUGCCUUUUCUUGUAGAAGCCCAUAAGCCCGAGCCGCAUGGGUUGGGUUGGGUUGGCUUGGGCUUUUUUUUGGGUCGAGCCACGGGCGGUCGGAGCUGACGAGAUAAAUUAGCAUCCUGUUCACACCUAAUUUAUAUCUAAAAAAGAUAUACUUUCUAGACAUAGGCUCCAACUUCCCAUUAUCCAUAUGAGCAUAAGCAGGACACUCAAAUAUUUUUAAAUCAGAAUAACAAAAAGGUUUACCAGACCAUGCUAUUUUGGUGUCUUUUUCUCAAUGGCAGUCGAGGGUGAGCUAUUAAUUAGAAAUAAGCUAUAGUAACAACUUCAGCCCAAAAAGUCAUAGGCAAUCUAAAAUUUGAAAGCAUACAAUGAAUCUUUUCCAUCAAAGUUCUAUUAAUCCAUUCUGCCAUACCACUCUGUUAAGGAGUUCUGGGCACUAUCAAGUGUCUCGAGAUGCAUUCAGCUUUGUAGAAGCUAUUGAAUUAAUCUAAACAAAAUUCCAACAUAUUGUCUGUGUGUGGACAUUUUACCUGCUUUUCAGUCUACUUUUCUAUCAAUGUUUUCCACUUUUUGAAGGUCGAAAACACAUCAUUCUUAUAUUUUAAGACUCAAACUUUCCAAGAGAAAUCAUCAACUACUGUCCCCCAAAGAUUUAAAUUGAUGUUCCCUUUGUAUUGUGCCUUCUUUUAGUGAAUCUAUCUCUUUUCUGUUUCCUAAAGAUACAAAGCUCAAAAAACUUCAUCGUACUGGUCUUUUGCUCAUCAAGAAGUCAUCUCCUACUCAACUCUAUCAUACCUGUCUCAAUCAUAUGCCCAAAUCUCAUAGGCCAAAGUUUAGUAACUUUCUCAUCAAUCAAAGAAGAAGAAAAAACUGAUGCAUCUCCUGAAAUUGGAAACCCUACAAAAUGUACAACUUUGUAGAAUUUUUCUGUCACUUCAUAACAACAAUAGCACCCUAACUCACCUUCAAAACUCCACAUUCGCAGUGUAUUUAUGAUUUUUUGAGUCAAGUACACUCAAAGAUAUGAGAUUUCUUCAAUUUCAAAAUGUGCCUUAUAUUUGUAAGUGUUCUAAUAGUACCAUCGAACAUUCUGAUUCUGAUUUGACCAACUUCGACAAUUUUGUAAGGCUAUUUGUUCUCAUAAUCCCUACAUCUCUCAAAACUCUUUCAUAUGUUAAAAAUUGAUCUCUGUUGGGAUACAUAUGAAAAGUACAUGCCGAUUCAAGAACACAUUUCUCACAAAGUUUAGAACCUAUGUAAGAAAUCAUAAAAAGCUUUCCUUCACUUGGCCCAUCUUCCACAACAUCAGCUUCUAUUGUGUUAAUAGGUUGUUUUUCAUUUCAGUAGCACUAGUAGCUUUAUUUCUAUUUUUUCAAUGAAUAGCAAUCAACUUUGAUAUGCCCCUUCUUCUAUUUUUCAAUGAAUAGCAAUCAGCUCUAAUAUGGCCCUUUCUUUUUUUACAGUAAUGACAUACUUUCUCUAUAUAUUUGGAGUUUGAUUUGCCCUCAUAUUCCUACCAAGAUUCUUAUUCUGAUUUAUCCUACGAACAACCAGGCUUUUAGCUUAACUCAUAGGUCCUUCAAUAAGACACCUCAUCUUCUCCUUAAAUAGUAAAGUAUCAUAGACCUCUUUUAUAGUGAGUAUAUCCCGACUAUAGAGAAUAGUAUCUCUAAAAGUCACAUAUGAUGGCGAUAGAGAACACAACAACAUCAAAGCAAAGUCCUCCUCGUCAUACUUGACUUUUAAUGCCUCCAAAUCAGCCAUGAUUUAUUUGAACAUAGUUAAGUGAUCAUCCAAUGAUGUACCUUCAGACACCCAUGAGAAUACAAGCGUUUUUGCAAGUUUAACUUGCUAGUCAAGCACUUUGUCAUACAAAGUUGCUCCAACUUCAACCACAAUACAGCAGCACUUUUCUCCUUUAAAACAUCCUAAAGAAUUUGAUUUGAUAAAUGUAGAUGAAUUUGAGAUUGGGCUUUCUAAUCCCUACACUGCUUUUCAUCUUGUAUCCAUGUUGAAGGCAUAUUAUCAAGCCAAGCAAGGCUUCCUCUAAAUCCAUCUGAGCGAGAACUGUUCACAUCUUCACUUGUCAUAAAGUAAAUAUCAUGUUUUGAUCCAAUAACAGAAUAUCAUAUUUCAUUUUUGCCAUGCGAAAUAAUCAACUUUGCUUUGUUACCACUAGUUAUUAAUUGAUCGCUAGAUAAUGACAAUAAUGAAAUAACUAAGAACAAAUAAGAGUACCAAAAUUUAUGUGGAAACCCAAUAUCAAAAAAAUCGUAGACAAAGGAGAAGAAAUUCACUAUAAUCAAUUAAUUAAGAUCUAAAGCUCUCAAGAUAUUGUAUGAAUGUUAUGAGAAUAAUACAAGCCGCGACUUAUAUAAAAACCUUAGAAAUCACGUUGUGGAUGAAUAUGAGUCUAACAAUUCGUUAUAAUACUAAAUAGGCCUGGGCUGAAUAACAUUAUCACUCGUGUGACAGGUGAGUGAUAGGCAGACGACAACUCCACCGCUCGAGCGCCUAGUGGGCGAUAGGCGAUCGACAAGUUUCUGUAGGAAACAUGCAAGCUUCGCUCGAGUGGCUAGCUAGUGGUAGGCUAGCGAAAAUGCGACGACUUUUAUUCAUGAUCCAUAAUUUUGAUCUCUUCAGGACCACUUCAACCAAAAACUGCAAUACCCAUUAGAAUUUUGAGUCAAACUACAAUAGAUUCCAAUGAAGUAGCAUGGUAUUUUUCUUUUCCUUUUACCCCUGCCUCUUUGCAUUCUUGAAUUGUUUUCUUCAUGAUAUUUAUAUAUUUCAAAUUGUGAUUGACUGAAAUUCUGUUCAGAAUUUGUAGAAACCUUUUAAAGAAAAUGGAAUUGAAUCAGCAACUCGAUGAGGUAAUAAACUGCCCUGAUCAUAAGCACUCUUGAAAAAGUGCAAUUUCAUAUUAUUUCUUUAUAAAGAUCCUUCUCCAAAAAAGAAUACAUUACGUUUUGAUUAUCACGCAAUUGAUUUUCAUCAGCUUCGCGGUGGUAAAUGAUGGCAAAUGCACUUGGUGUGGCUCCAAUAAAGACUGAUUUGCCUGAAAAUUGGUUGAAUUGGAACUUAUUUUACUUUAGAAAAGAAGAAAAAUGUCUUUUCAAAAUCCACUUCAACUACAUUAGAGGAAACAUUUAAAGGAUUCUUGAAAUGAAUCAGUUUACCCUAAAUUGGAAUUGGUUUUGCCCAUUCAUAAUUUUGAAAAAGAAGAAAAAGCUUUUCAUUAACUUCUUCAUUGAGAACACCAAAAGAAGUAUAAAAAUAUAAAUUACUCACAGAAAGAAGUAAUAAUAUAUGCUAAAACUUGAACUCCAUUGGAUAUCAGAUAGAGCUGCAAUAGGUAGAGAAAAUGGAGUAAUUGGAACUGAAAACAAAGAGGGUUCGUUUUAACGGAAGGAAAAACAUAGGAUCAGUCCUGAGAAUUUUGAGGCACUAGGAGUAGCAAUAUUCAAACUUAUGUAAAUAGCCGUGAAUAAUCCAGUUCAUGAGGAGCUUUUGUAGUGAUUUAGCCCAGGACAUUGAACAAUAACCUUACUACAUUACAUGAUAAUUAAUCAGAAACAGCCAAUUCCAUGAUGUUGGAUGUUUGACAAAGCAGUUAAUUGCUAUGUAAUUGCUACUUUGUGGAUUUAUUAUAUGCAUAGUGUGGAGAUUCAUAAUGGUUCUUGUUCAAUUUUUCUUAAACGUCGAUUUUGUAAACAAAAUCAAAUCCAAGUAAACCAACACAAAUCCAUGCUCUAAAUCAACUAUGAAUUUCCUUUUUCACAAGUUCCAGCAUUUCAAGCUACGACCUUUUCAAAAUUUCGAUAAGAGCAUUUUUUCAAAAGUUACUUCCCCUUCCUCAAAUAAUUUACUAGUCCUCAUAAUGAAUUUAGGCCACAUACAUUUCUAUAUAUAUAUGUCCCAUAAUAAAUACGAGUAUUCAGAAACAUAAAAUCAAAUAAUAAACCAGAAAGAAAGUUCGCUUAAAGAUUUUAUCUCUUUUUUUGUGAUUUUCUUCUCAGUUUUUCAAUUUCUUACCAUGAGCAGAGAAAUAGUGUUGGACAUUGGUUUUACUUGUUUAUCAGGCACAAGCUGAUGGAAGGAAAGAGAGAGGAGGAAGCAUAUGCAGUUGGCCAUGGGUGGUCCUUUCUCACACCGAUUAUUUGUAGUUUUUUUUGUGAAUCUACUUCUUUUGUGGACACUUGCUUGUGAUUUACUAUAGUUCAAUUUAUCUGCUUCUCACCAUCUCUUUUAGUCGAUAAAACAAGGUUAUUUUGAGUAAUUGGGUGGGUUUCGGAUUUUUUUUUUCAUGAGGCCCCUCUAAAUUAUGAGGUCCUAGCUGGCUGCCUAGUUAGUGUUGGGAAUAUACUUAACGUGCGCAGUGGAAAAACAAAACAUUUUUCAAUUCUCACCAGAAAUCGUCUUUGUAUUUAGAUAGAAACUGUGAUAGAGGUUGUACCUUUUGUAGAUCUGCAAACUCCUUUACCAUAUAUUUGUUCUAGCAACUUGGAUCUGUCCACAGCUGUCCAAUUGUCCAGCCUUUAACGAUAAUUCACACAGAAAACAAGAUUGCAGUAUUAAGGUUUUUCUUGUGCUAACAAGAAUAAUGAAUUCUCCACAGAUUUUGCAAACCUUAGUCAUAUUUAUAUAAGCCCAAAUGGACUUGGCCUAAUCCGAUCCAAUAUUUAAUUAACCCCUUUAAUUAAAUCCAAUCCGUGAACUAAUUAAUCCAAAUUAAUUAAUUCAAGCCUAUAAAUAUGCAACUCAAUUAAUUAAUUUAUCCAACUUGUUAAAGUAAUUAAUUGAUAAAUUUCAAUAUUCUAGUUCUCUUUUGUGUGCAACCUUUCAGGUUCCUGAUCACGAUACCUAACGACGUGAAAUAUUAUUUUGAUAUAAUCAAAAUUGAUAAAUUAAAACACCCCUUUAAUUUAUCACCAAUUCAUGCUCGCCGUCCCAAAUUGACAUCUAGCAAUGUGUAAGGGCAAUACAUGUGAUGGAAAAUGUCACGUAGUAUGACAAAACCAAACUCGUUCGUUUACUGUGAAGUUAUAAUCCCUUCGUCAAUAUGAUCCGAUCAAUUAUGAGAUAUGAAAGUGUGUCAAUCUCGAUUAUUAAUUAUAUCUUACACUCCACUAUUAAGUCAAUAUAAGUCGAAAACUCCUUUUUGACUUAUGAGUACACCUUGGCCAAAGAUUUCGUUAUCGACUUAAUUGAAUGAAAUGUAGAUCAUAAUCUCUUACUAUCCAAGAGUGACGAAUCAUCUACUGGUCAUUCACAACCUUCAUACGAUUCUUGAUAUACCCGAACGAUGUCGUAUUAGCGGCCCUUGGCAGAGCAACAUCCAACAUUAUCAAAGCAUGACUGUCCUCAUAUAAUGUACUAUGACGACCUCAAGUCAAAAGACAAAUUUUACUACCAAACGUUAGAGAUUAACCACUAACACUUAGAUAGUUAUCCAUGUGGAAUCUCUAGGCGGGUCUCCAAUGCUUUGUUCUACAACAAACAUCAACGUGUUCAUUCAAGUGUCACCACACUUUAACUUAUGAGAUCAGCUACUUACUUCACAAGUAAGAAAUGCCACACGUGAUAGUCUAUUCAUAAUAACGAUAUCCGUAUCUCGUUAUUACUUCUGACCACGGACGUUUAAGAUUCAAUCAUAUGUAAUUUGUAUCUCACAAUCACAACUCCUUAUGAUUAACAAAUUACGAAAAUUUGAAUUUACAGACUCUAUUAUUUAAUUUAAUUAAAUAUUAAUUAAAUAAUAUAUCUGCUAUAAAAUUGCAUUAAAAAAUAUUAAAAGCAUUUGUGUCCAAGAUUGAUUGGACUUAGAGCAUAAUACUUACAAUUAGCUUUGUGCAAAAACCAGGCCUCAAAAAUGAUUUAUAGCAGCAUUAAAAUUUGUCACAAUAAAUUGUUGAAAUAAUGUAUGGACUAAAAGAUAUUAUUACUUCAACUGUAUUUGACUUACAUGAAUUCAAUGAUGUGUCGAUCCCAAGUACUUGUGGGUUGCAUUUAUUAUUCGCUGAGGCGAAAUCCCUUGACCUUUCUUGAGUGUGCAUGCUUUUCUCGUUGAAGUAAUUUGGGGCAUUUUGGCAUGUAGAAAAAAAGUUUGAAAAUAAUGGUUGUCAGACAGGGACUUAGUUCAAUUCUAAUUUUGUCAUGUAGACCUCUUUAAUUGGAAUUCAGUUUGGUUGUAAGUUAACAAGAUGUUUCUUAGUUGGGAUUUUAAUGAAUUUAAAACGAAUGUCCUCAACUAAAAUUGUGAUAAAUUUUAAAAGACGAUGGUUAUAUCCAAACCAUAAUUUUUAUUUAUUACAUCACAUUUUGAUUGUAGUUAAACACCUCAAUCUUUGCUCAUUAUAGAAAUUACUUUCUUAACUUUUCUUUUUUUUCCAUAUUCGUAUCUUCAAUUUUCUAUUAAUUAUGUCUCAUCGUUGAUCAUGAUUUUUAUCAAAAUAAUUUAUUUUCAUACUUUGAAAUAAGGAAAAAGUAUAUCUUUAGCACAUUUUAUUUAUUUUUUAAAAAUAUGAUAAAAAGUAAGUUGUUUUAUGCCAUUUCGGCUAGAGAUGUCAAACGGGGCGAGUGGCUCGUCAAAACAAGGCUCGUGGGUUGCUCAGGCUCUUUAGCUGAGCUCAGCUCGUCGAGCCCAAGAGCUCGUCAAAAAAUAUGAAUUUUUUUUUAAAAUAUCCAAAAUGUGCAAAUUUACCAAAAAAAUUUUAAAAAUCACGAGCUCGCCCCCGAGCAACGAGCUCGGCUCACCACGAGCCCGAGCCGAGCUCGUGGGUUCAAGGGCCGAGCUAGCUCGACUCGACCCAUUGUCAUCACUAAUUUCGACUGACUUUAAUUUGGAUAUAAAACUGCUGUUAAAUUAAAAAAAUGUUAAACUAAUGAAAACUUUGAGGAUAAAAAUAAUAUGAAAAUCGUUUAAUACAUGAGUGCUAUAACGAACAACGAUUAAGAAUUUUAUGUACAAUUAAAAUGUAUUGCAAGAAAUAAAAAAAUUGUAGUGUGAAUAUAAUUAUCCUUUAAAAGAUUAUAAAUUCUAAUGAAUUUCAUGGACUUCAAUUGAUUUUCAAUAUAAUCCAUAAGAAUCUUAUUAAAAAUGGUGAAAUUUCAAAGAGAAUUUGUUGUGUAUUUUUAAGUUUGAAAUUGAUCCAAAUUUUUUAUAUCCCUCUGUUAAUAAAAUGCUUAUAAAUUCAUGAGUUAUUGAGAAUGCCUAAAUUUUAAAAAAUUUCAUUAAAAUUUAUUAACAUAUUGGUAACACCUAAAAUUUAAUGGAUUAUAUUUGAAAUUCAUUAAAAUCUUAAGAAAGGACACUUAAACCUCUAUUUGAUGGGAAUUAAAAUAAGAUUUUAGUAAAUUGCGAUAGAUGUUGAUAAAAUGUGUGAUUAAAAUUAAUUAUUGAUCUCGACUUGGAUUAAAAUCUUGAUUUUAACUUCUACCAAGCAAGAGCUUAUAAGGUGUUUUUGAAUCCAUUAAAAGCUGAAUUGAGGAUACCCUAUGAAAGAUUAUAAAUUCCAAUGGAUUUUGUGAAUUUGAAUAGUUUUCAACUGAAUUCAUAAAAAUUCCAUUAAAAUGAUGAAAUUUCAAAAAUGUUUGCAGGUUUGAAAUCCGUUUAUUAUUAUAAAUUAACGAGUUAUUAAGAAUAACUAGAUUAAUAAAUUUCAUUGAAAUAAAUUAAAUUUUUAGUUGUAAACAUCUAAAUUUUAAUGAAUUAAAAUUAAUUAAAAUUUCAAUUAAGGCAACAAGAUUUUAAUAAUUUUUUUUAAAAAAAUCAUUAAAAUUUUAAUUGGGUUCAAUUUUGCAAAGAUUUUGGAAAUAUUUUUAUGAAGGUAUUUAUAUUCACAUCAAAUAGUUUUAUAAACACACGACAUUUUAAUUACAUUAAAGUUUAUAAACCUUUAUUCGUUAUCACACUUGUAUUCUUAAUUUUAUUCUUUCUUACAUUCUUAUUUUUAUUCAGUGUGCUUUAAAAUGAGGGUUAAAUAUUCAAUCGCAUUUUUACAUGAUUAUUUAUUUUGCAUAUAAAUACGAUUGACAAAUGAGUCUUUUUACUCUACCUUAAAGAAAUCUUUGGAGAGAAAUCAUAAUCAAGAACAAUUUAUGUUAAUUUGAGAAAUAAGGAUGCGAUAAAAAAAGUUUCGGACAUAAAUGUAAUAACAUGUAAGGGUUAUAAACCUUUCGUGUAAUUAAAAUGUAGUCAAGUUAUUAAAAAUUAUAAAGUGAAUAUAUUCAACCCUAGUUUGAACCCCAUUUUUGGGUCAAAAUGCAUUUUAGAAUAGUAUUUUAUUGAAGAAUGUGCGAUUAAAAAGUAAAGAAAAAGUUGGGACUUACAUAUAAAAUUAUUUUAUAAGAGAAUGUAUGGUGAAAAAUGAAUUUUUAAAAAAUGGGGACCCAACAUAGAUCUAACCUUUUUAAAACAAAUUAAAAGUUUAAUUGAGGACACUCCCUAAAACUCACAUAUUCGAAAACCAUUGAAAUAAGACAAGAUUCGAAUUGUUCAACGACGAUCGAUGCAUGCAAAAACUUGGUGUGGAUGAAGUGUAGAACGUCGGGAUGCAUAUAUAUAGCAUGUGAAUACAUAUUUCUAUAUGUUUGUAACUAUUAGGCUUUUAAAUUUGAUUAGGUUGAUUUUGUUUCAAUGAAUUAUUUAAGGGUUAUGGUUGAAGCAAACUUUCUCAUGCAAGCAUAUUAUGUUAAUUAAUCUAUGGUCGUAUCCAAACUCCUAGAGCUUGGUACAAUGAGCUCCAUACUUUUUUUGGUGGAGGAGGGAAUUCAUAAUUAUCAUACAUUAAGCUCCUAUUUGGUAGUGCUUAAAAUAAAGUUUUUUAGUACAUUUUAAUAAAAGUUCAUGACGUGUGGUUGAAAACUUGUGUAUUUCAUGAAAUACGUAUUUAAAAUUAAUUGUUAACUUUGACUUAUAUUAAAAUUUAGAGUUUGAUCCCUAUCAAACAAGGACUAAGAAUAACAAUUUCAAAAAUAUCAAACUUGUAGAAUAUUUUCAAAAAUCAAAUGAAAAAUAAAUAAAUUUAUCUUUCCAAUAUUCUCUCACCUUUUCUUUCCCAAAAUUAAGCAUUCCAGUUAUUUCUUUCCACAUUUCUCUCACAUUCCAAUAAUCAAAAUCUCAAUUUUCGAUCUUGUAUCAUCUUUGGACAGAUGAAUUCAAAAAUUUCACCAAAUCCUUUGUCUGAUAAUCAAAUUUACAGUUUCUUGGUCACUAUAUCUUCGCUAUUACAUUAUGUUACAUAUGUUAUGUUCCUUCAUUAACUGAAUUAUCAUCCUGUUCACAAUUUGGGCAUGAUUUAGAGUAAUUAUUUCUGAUCAUUUGAGAGAAAUUGUUUCACAGUGUGGAUUUCGCUUCUCAUGCACAACUAAUAGAAAUAUUUUUAGUUAAAUUUGAUUUCGAUGUACGAAUUUCAUAUAUAUACGUAAUUUGAGAAUAUUUACUACCAAUUUAUUGUAAAUAUUAACUAUAAAUUAACAGAUGGUGUGUAAUUCAUUGUGACCUUACUUUGUUGCUGAAUUUAUGAUGUGAGUUCUCUAAUUUUAAUUUAUUGUGACCAAUAUUAAUUCAUCUAUCUACAUUUGCCAGAAUGAAAUGAAUGGACAUUCAAUGUUUCCAAUUCUGCGAAUUCAAGCUUAUUUUGGAUUACAUAGUUGUGUAGAAUUUCUGCUUCGAGUGCAUCAACGGUGUUAUUUUCAAACUUGUGACUUUCAUAUUGUGAUCAUUGUUGUUAUUUAUAAUAUUCAAACUUGUGACCUUCAUUUUUGUGAUUAGUGUUAUUUUCUGUGAUCAAUGGUGUUAUUUGGACCAAUGUUGUUAUUUGUGACCUUCUUAUAAGUGUAGUAUAUUCAAUUUGUAACUCGUUCGUACUUUCUGACCAUCAUUUGUAACAUUUUAUGUUUUCUGACCAAUGUUGUAAUCUGUGACCAUUGCGGUUAUUUGUGACUAGUACAGUUAUUCUUGAAAGGUCACAAGUUGUAAAAUGUGGAAGGCGCGGUGGAUUCGACCACAACUUACAACAACAUGGUGCCACUUAAUCGAAAAAGAGAAAAUUGAGUGGGAAGAAACAACGAAAGGUGGUCACAUAUAGGGAUAUCAAUGAGUCGAGCCAGCUCGCGAGCCGAAACUUGUGACUUGGGCUUUGCUCGAGUAAAAAUGGUUCAGGCAAUUUUUGGAAUCUAGUCUCGAUCCAAGCUUUAGGCUCGGGAUUUAUCGAGCUGAGUUGAAUCAGCUCACUUUUUUUUAAUAAAAACACAGGACGCUACAUAUAAAAAGCAACAAUAGUUGCUACCAGGUGCAUUUUUCUUUCUUUUUUUAAGGGUGAACUCGUUAUGGGCCAAAAAUGACCCCUGACACGAGUCAGGCUUAGGUUCGGCCCGAAGUCCCAAAAUGUUGCUCGGCCCAAUCCUCGGGCUCGAUCGUAUCGAGCUAGCCACCGGCUCGAGGUUUUUUUUUAGCCAAGCAUUCGCCUUGAAUCUAUGAGCCAAAUUGAUAUCCCUAGUCACAUAGUACAUCAAUUUGUGUAAUAACAUAAUACUUGCAAUAAUAUGGUGCAACUUAACCAUAUAGAAGGAAAAUUGAAUGAAAAAACAUCAAAAGAUUGUCACAUUGUACAAUAGCUUGUGUAAAAGCGGCAUGAUAUUCUUUUGUACUUCAUCCUUUGAAUGUGCCAAAUCCUCAUUCGUUAGCCAGGGGGAAACCAUCCACCAGUCACCAUUCUUCCCACCUUAAACCACCACCGGUCCCUAAUUGCAUCUGUUUUUUUAUUUCUUUCUCCAUUUUAACUCUGCCUUCAUUGGAGAGUCUCAAGCUGUAGUUGUUGAGAUUGGUUAAUUUAGUAGGAAAAAAAGCAGUGAUGGUGGGUUGGCGGUGAUGGGUAUGGAUUUGAUAUAGAGGUGGUGAUGUUCGUUUUAGAUUUGAUGUGGAUGUGGUAGUAAUAUAAUGGCAAGUCUCCUGUUAUUGUAGUUAUUUGGCGUUGAUUUAUCUUGUUUGAAUAUAUUGUUUGUUGUGGGUAGUUUUUUUAUAAGACAUGUUGUGGUGGUGUUAGCAAUGACAGUAGUGGUGCAGGUGCUGGUUGUGUUGCUGGUGUUUGGAUUGGGUUGAGGUUGUAUGGACACAGUUUGUGACCAAUAAAAUAAAAAAUUUGUGAAUUGAUGCAAUGACCCGUGUCUUGUGCAAAAUGACCCGUGACAUGUAAAUUGAUAACAUGUUACAUGUCCUUGUGCACUUGUUACAGGUCACAUAUCACAUAUUUAUAUUCAUAGGUCACUAUUACUUGGUUACAUAUUAUAGUUUACAGGUUACGGUUAUAGUUCACAAGUCAUAGGUUAUAUUGUUUAGGUCACAGAUGUUCACAUGCUAUAGUUUACAGGUUAAUAUUAAUUGGUCGCAUAUUAUAUAGGUCACAUAUAUUCAUACAUCAUAUGUUAUAGUUCAUGGGUCAAUAUUAAUUGGUAACAUGUUAUAAUUCACAAGUCCAACUUAUAGUUCACAGAUCAGAAGUUAUAUUGUAUAGGUUACUAGUUAUAAUUCAUUGAUCACAGGUCACCAUUCAUAGGUCACUGAUCCAAGAGAAUUGGUUACAAGUUAUUGGAACAAUUUCACAUGCAACAGAUUAAGUAAACUCAAGAGAAUUGAUCACAUGUCAUUGAUUUUUUGGAACUGGUCACAAAUUCAAUUAACCAAAUUUCAGUAGUUAGAAUUGAAGUUAUUUGAUCUGGUGAGUAUUUUAUAAAUUACACCUGAGGCUGUUUUUCAAUUUUUAAUUUUAAAAAAUAGAUUUAAAUUACAUCAGCAUUGCUCAAUUGUUGCUGAUGAAGAUGAUCAGUCGCCAAUGAGGUUCAAUCAAUGUUCUUAAAAAAUGGUUUGUUUUUCCCACUCUCUAGUGUCUGAGUCGAAGAUUCUCAGUUGUCAUAGAGUGGCGUUCAGUUUGCCAUUGAAAAAGAUGCUCAAUCGUCGACAAUCUCUAUAGAUUCUUUCUUUCGGCGAAGUUAUUUAGAUGUUGGUGAUUGCGAGAGUGGUUGCCGACGAUUCCGAUUUUUGACAACUGUAAAAGGGACGGAGACAGGCGGAUAUCGGUAAUUAUAGCCUAAACAGGAGAGAGAUUGGUAUUAUUUUAUAUAUCAUUUUUUAUUUAAUUAAUAAAAUUUAAUUAUCACUUGAGUUUUGAAAAUAUAAACUUGUUAUCUUAAAAUUGAAUUAACCUAAAUUUAAGGCCUGAGAUAUGAUUUUUUCCUGGGAAAGACUACAUAACUACAACAUUAUAAAAACACAUUUCAUAAAUAACAAACUCAUUAAAAUAUUUUCAAAAAUUGGGUGGUAAAUAUAUUUAUUAAAUAUUAAACUACAAUAUAAUAUGCAUUAAUUAUUUCCACUCCAUGCCACCUCACUCACCCCAUCCUCUCACCCCACUACACUACCUUCCCUUCACCUCUCCAUCGGAGAUAGCUAUCAGCUUCCGCAGUCACUUCGGCGACUGCUCAAGCAACAGCUCCAGCGACUGGUCCGACGACUGCUCCGACAAACUGUUGUGACGAACGCUCCAGCGACUACUCCAGCAACUAUUCCACCAAUUGUUCCGGCUCCGGUGAUAGAAAAAUCUCCAAAAAUUGUGAUGGUUGUAGUGGUGCAUUAUAGUUAUAAAAUUUGCAACCGUGUUAUCUGUGACCAUACAUGUGUUAUAUGUGUCCAAUUCGCUGACUUAUGUUAUCUGAGAAUCACCGUGACCAAUUUUCCCUUCGGUGUAACUAAUUGUGACCAAAUUUGUAUUCAGUGUGACUUCUGUGACCAGGUCAAUCUCAAGUCACAAUCGGUCACAAUCAAUACAAAAUUGGUCACAAAUAGUCACAAAUAGAUCUCGAACAGGAAAAACCAGAUAUCCAACAACCACGACAAAUCUAUUCUGAAAAAUAAUAACCACCACCACUACUAACAUCUUUAACUUAAAUUGAUAACUAUAAAUACUACAUUCAUCUCAAAUCCACACCAAUCAUCGCUACCGUAACUUCUACCAACCCUUCAAAAAACACCAACCAACACCACCACACUUCUCUUGUGAAACUUCAGUGAGAGACAUGGUAGGUGGUCAGAAUUUAGAGGGUGGGUGGGGAAGAAGUCGUAUAUCUAAUUUUUGGGUAAGAGACUGUCAACUAAUUUUUGGGGGAAGAAAUAGAUUGUAAAGGUUAAAAAUUGAUACAAGAUCUGGGGUAAAUUGAUAUGGGGUCUGUGACCAAGUUUGUAUUCAAUGUGGCUGUUUGUGACCAGAUAAAUCUUAAGUCACAACCGGUCACAAUCAACACUCACAACCAGUCACAACCAGAUCUCGAACAGGAAAAAAAAAAAGACCUCCAACCACCACAGCAGAUCUGUUCGAAAAAAUAAUAACAACCACAACUACUAACAUCUUUAACUCAAAUCCAUAACAACAAUUAUCACUACCUUAACUUCGACCAAUACCUUCAAAAACAACAACCAAUUGAUUACUGAAUAUUUCUCAAUAAAGAUUUCCAGGAUUCUUCUUCAGUUAUCUCUCGAAAAGAUGAGGAAGAUUAUGAGAGAAAAGCCGUAGAUCUGAUUGUUCUUCACCAUAUGGACUCCACGUUCACAUUUGAUUUUCUUCUCCUCACAGAUUGCUUCUGCUUUAGGUAACCCAUGUACCGUAUUGGCACUUCCCCCAAAUCUAAGCUUAUCAGCUUUCAAAGAAGAGAUUUGUGCGAAACUCCGACAAGAGAAAUAGCAGGUGGCUAGAAUCUAAAGGGUGGGGAUGGGGAUGGGGAUGAGGGUGGGGAAGAAGCCACCGAUGAGAUUUUUGGGUAAGAGAGUGCUGAUCAAUUUUUGGGGAAGAGAGGGAGUGUGUGUGGGUUAGAAAAUGAAUCGGGGUGUGGUGUAAAAGAAGUGGUCAAGGGUGGUAGAGCAGGUGAGUGUAAUUAAUUAAUUUAAAAAUUAGUAUUUAUCACCUGACUAUUGAAAUUUAAUCUUUCACCUACUUAUUUUAGAAAUGUAAUCUCGAAAAGAAGGGAUCUAGAUAAUUUUCCCUUUUUCCCUUUAUAAAUUUUGAUGUAUAUGUAGUACAACCGAAAAAUUAUCUCGUUAAGUGAACUCUUUAACAACAAUAAUGUAGGCCCAAUAAUCAUUUAAGCCCACUCUACACCAAAUCCCGGUAAAAGCCCAAUCCAUACUGAAAAACCCUAAUUACCUCAGCCAUCCAAGUAUAUAAAUACUACAACGAGGAUUUACCAGCAAUUUUGAACCUCCAUCUUUAAUUCGCUCAUGGUAAUUUCUGUUUGUCUAGAACAGUAAUAAAUGCUUCGUAUAUGAUCUGUAGUAAAUAUUGAUGUUGAAAUUUGUUAUUAUUAAAAGGGAAAGGGAACCGGAAGUUUUGGUAAGCGAAGGAACAAAACUCACACACUGUGUGUGAGAUGCGGCCGCCGCAGCUUCCACAUCCAGAAGAGCCGUUGCUCCGCCUGUGCUUACCCCGCCGCACGCAUAAGGAAAUGUACGUGUUUAUGUUUCUGCUGUGAUUUUGUCAGUUAUGAAGAGAAUAAAAAAAUACGUUUCAAUUUGUGAAUCGGAAUGGAAGUUGAAGGACAUACUUUUUUAAUUUGGGAAUUGAACUAGGGAAAGCUACUUAAUGAUUAUAAGAGCAGAGGUGGAUAUUUUGACAUUCGACUGUGCACCAAAAGCUCAUAUUAUGGGUAAAGUAAAAACUUUACUAAAUUAUGUGAUUGCACCUAUGGCAAAUGACCUAGAAUUUUCGAAGGACAAUGUUUCUGGAGUAUUUUUGUAUUUGACUAACCGAAAAAUGUAGAUUCACGCACACUAUUAUAGGGCUGUAGGAUUUGUUAAAUUUCAUGAACUGGGGUUUUAGAUUGAAUAAAAUGAAUUUAAGCUUGCUAUCCAGUUGGCAAUAUCUGUUCUUUUCCAACUGGAUUCUUUCCCCUAAAGCAAAAGUGAGCCUGUCAUAAUUUUACCAAUCUAUGUUAUCUUAGCUAAUUUAAUUGCAUAUUUGAUAUUCAUGAUUUGAUAUUUGUUGCCUAUGGAAGUACGGAACAACAGUGAUGAUUCAUACAGACCUGUAAUGAUUUGCGAGCAUGAUCGCAAGCAAUAAUGAACAUCUAAGGGACUGAGUUGUUCACCAUCUUCAUCAAUCCUAUUUUUUGUUUUUGGAAUAUCUUGAAAUAUCAGGGAUGUCUAUAUUUUGGAAUCUAUAUUACAAUGAUACUUAAUAUAAAAUUAUGGAUUGCUUAAAGCUUUAAACAGUUUUUAAAAUAUGCAGUCACUCAUUUGAGAAUGAGAACUCUGUAGGUGGUAACUAAGUAGAAAAUAAACUGAAAAGGGUCAAAAAAAUAAAAAGAACUGUAUAAAAAUUUUUUGACUGUGACUAUCUGGUUGGCAGGAUCGGCGUAUUUCUGACCAACUCCUUCCCUGGAAGUGAGAGUGACUGUGUGCAUCCUUGAGUUGCUUUUAGAAAACGCUGGGACAGCUAUAUUUAUACAGUUACGCUGCUUUUUUCUUUUUAUCUGAUAUAUAAUAUAUAUUUUACUAUUCUUGGCUCAUAAAUUCUCAUGGUGUGUAUAGAACAACUGUGAUGAACUCUACAGACCUGUAAUGAUUUGCGAAUAUGAUCGCAAGUUAAUGAACAUCUAAGGGACUGAGUUGUUUGUCAAUUGUACACGCCAAUCUUAUAUUUUUCUUUUUUGUCUAUAAUAUUUGUGGCAGUUCUGUCUUUAAAAAUACACUUGUGUUUUUUGCACUUUUGCAGAAUUAUCAUUUUGAUGAUUGGUGAUUUAUUUAGUCUUUGUUUGAUGGCCAUUAUUGAGAAAAAAAAUGAUAUUUUGGAUAGUGAUUAUUUGGAGAAUGUGUGGUUAAAAAGUAGAGAAAAGUUUUGUGCUUGCGUGCAAAAUAUUUUAUUGUGUGAAUGUAUUGUUGAAAAUGAAUAUUAGAAUUAAAGAGUUUUGGUUUAAAGGGAGCCAAACAGUGGCUUAAUAUAUUAGCCUUCCGUUCAUAGAUAACUGGAGUGUCAAGGCUAUACGAAGAAAGACCACUGGAACUGGUCGUAUGAGAUAUCUCCGUCAUGUAGCUGUUAGGUUCAAGAGCAACUUCAGAGAAGGUAAAUGGAAUUUGAUUUUCCUUUUCAUCUACAUUUGUUAUUUGAAAGAGUGUCAAGUUUAUAAUGUUGAUUUGCAACGUAUCUCUAACUGCUAGGCACUCAAGCACCUCCAAGAAAGAAGGGCGCAGCUGCUGCCUCCUAAGGUUUUGAAGGAAAUCCCGAGUUUUUUUAGCAUCUAUGUAUCUUUAUUUUUGUGAGAGAAUCGAGUUUUGGUUUAUACAGUGUUGGUUAUCAACCAGUGAAGAUACUUCGGUUAUCAGUAUGCUUUUGGGUGAUGAUUGAGGUCUCAAUGCAAUCACAAAUUGAUUACAACGGAAAAUGUUUGUGUUUUCUAAUGGAUGAUCAAGAGUGUCAUCACAUUAAUUUCACUCUAUUUCAGCCACAUUAUUUUCUAAGAAUGCAUUUAGAAAUAAUAGAUUGAUUGAGAAUGUGUGAUUAAAAAUAAGAAUUUUUUUUGGAUUUGCGUAUAAUAUUAUUUUAUUGAAAACUGUGUGGUUGAAAAUGAGAAAAAUGUAUUGGGUUAUGCAUGAUGUCCAUUAGGGUGUCCACCCUUCUCACAUGGAAGAGGGCUCUUUUCGAAUAAAAUUUGUUAUAUUUGGAGUGGGCCCUCUUCCAUGUUAGGGGAAUGGACACCUUGAUUUACAUUUAUUGAUGUAUAUGUGGAAUAAUCCAAGUGUAUUUUGAAAAAAAUAAAUAAAUAAACAAAAUGGGGGUUCAAACAAUGGACAGUCAAUUUUAUUAGAUAAUAUUGAAAACAAUCUUUAUGAUAUAUUUCUAAAUCUUUAUUGACAUUGCUAUGUGCAAUAACUGAAUAUCAUUGAAGCCUAAGAAAAAAAUUUAAUAGUCCACAAGUAUUUUAGCAAUUACAUUUCGAAUAUCUUCGUUUUUGGUACAAGGAUUUUGUGAUCAUGUAGUAGUAAAUUUGUACAACAAUGAAACUACGUUAAUGGUGCUAAAUUAAUACUCACAUACUUAGUGUUUUUCGUAAGUGAGAAAUAGUGUGUUACUCGCAUGCAUAGUGUUACUCCAUAACAAAGAGGGUAACAAAAUGUGUUACCUUGAUUAAUACUUGGAUAUGCAUUUUAUUUUUAACGUUUUGCUCAAGGAAAGAUUACUUAAGCAAAAAAGAUUACUUGGCAUGUUACAUGUAUGGGAAGGGGUAAUUACUAGCAUGCAUAAAGUGUUAAUCGAAUCAAUCAUGCUACAUUAUCACAAUUAUUGAUAUAAUGUCAUAUAACGCUCUAUCAUUGAAUUGUUUAAAACGCAGUCAUCUUCUUCAUCAAAUCACUUUUUGUCACAUAGAAUUCUGUCAACUCUUAUGUCACAGUUAUAUAAAAAAAAUUUUAAAGGAGCUUAAUCAUAAUCGAAUUCAUGAGAUGGUAAUAUGAUUUUUCUUAUGUAAAUGCAUUGCUACUUGACCUUCACAGACGGGAUAACAUACUGUGUUACUUGCAAUCAUAGAGUGUAGCUUGCACUACUAACGAGAUUACACGAUGUGUUACCAAAGAGUGUUACGAAGUUUUUUUAAAAAAAUAAAAAUAAAAUUGAGGUGAUAAUAAGUAAUAACCACAUGCAGUUUUGACAUAAUAAGCCACGUAACGUUUGAGCAAACACAGGAAAUUCUUAAAUCCAAUAAAUUGUCAAUGAUCCUUAUCAAAUUAAUUACACAAAAGAUUUUGCUAACCUAUUAUGUGUUAUCCAACAUCUUCUAGAAAGAAUAGAUUUUUUGGUACUGAUUCUUUAAUUAUAAUUAUUUUAUUUUAUUAUUAUUAUUAUUUUUUUUCCAAAACUCAUUUUCAAUAGGACCAUUCAUCCUAUAUAAUAAUGUUAUAUGUAAAUCCAAAAAUUUUCUUUCUUUUUAAACAUACAUUCUUUAAAAAAUUUGUUUUUCACAAAAUCUAUUAUAGAAUAAUCUUCAUCAAACAGACAUUGAGCUAUCAACAUGAGAAACUAGACAACUUGCAAAUAACAAAAAAUCUACAUCAAUCCAAAUUUUUUAACUUGGUAUUUGACGUUUGAUGCUACACCUGUAGAAGAAACUUCCAUGUUAAUGUUUUUCUAUUAGUUUUGGUUUGGCUUAAAAUAUUUUGGUUAAGUUUAAAAGUUACUUACAUUUUACUAAAGUGGUUUCUGUCAAUAGACCAUAUCUUUGAAAAUCAUAUUUUAAUAACUUAACCCCUUAUUCGGUCUCCAUUAUUUUUAAAAUAUUUUCUCUUUUAUUUUUAACUAGAAUAAUGCUUGCGAUACACCAAGAUGUCCAACGGGGUAUCCAUCGACACCUCGUAUUGGCCGAGGCGCCGGUGGGCCCCGGCGUGGCAGGCGCCUCGGCCAAUGCCGAGGUGCCAAGUGUCCAUUUUGGACACCCCCUUGGACAUCACAAUGUACCCAUAGUAUGAUUAUUUUAACUACACAUUAUUCAAUAAAAUAAUAUUACAUGCAAAUCCAAAAUUUUUCUUUAUUUUUUAUCCACGCGUUUUCCAUCAAAAUAUUAUUCCAAAAUACAUUAUUUUUAAAAAAUGUGGCUUAAACAAGAAGUAACUAAAUAAAAGUAGGUUAUAUACACAUACUAGGAUGUCCAUAAUGAUGUCCACCCCCUUACAUCGAAGUACUCACUUUAAAUAAUAUAUAAUUUAUUUGAAGAGAAUCUCUCUCUCUGAGGAUAUCAUUAUUAAUACUGCAUUAUGUACAAACAGCGUAUUCCAUUAAAGUAGGUUUGUAAAUAAAAUAUCAGCCCCAGGCCGGAAAAAGGCAAGCUCGGAGGUAGAAGUAGCUUAGCAAUUCAUACAUAGAUGCAUUUCCAGCAAUGACACAGCAGUAUGUCUGAAAAAGGGUAGGGAUUCAUGCUACUACACAAAUGAAAUUACAUAAAAUAAACAGCUAAAUUUAAACCUGUCGGAUAUAGAUAAUUAUAGAGAUAUAUAGUAGUAUAUAUUCAUAUAUAUGAGAACUGAGUAACAAUCUCCACUAAUAUUUAGGAACCCACACGAUGUGAUCCUCAGGGAGGAAAUGGCAGACCGGAACUGUCCCUGGUUUCACCUUCAGCACCUGAAAAGCCAAGUGUUUUGGGUUCCACGCCGCCGUAUCCUUGUGACAAACGGCCACCGCUUUCACCUUGGUGCCGUCGUCCCCCACCAUCGCCACCUUGUA